This 443-nucleotide ribosomal RNA is filed under the name uncultured bacterium. RNAcentral's name for it is "partial 16S ribosomal RNA". It matches the Rfam family "Bacterial small subunit ribosomal RNA", at positions 338 to 795 of the family's 1533-position model. The record is from RNAcentral.
CCUACGGGAUGCUGCAGUGGGGAAUAUUGGACAAUGGGGGGAACCCUGAUCCAGCGACGCCGCGUGAGUGAAGAAGUAUUUCGGUAUGUAAAGCUCUAUCAGCAGGGAAGAAAGAAAUGACGGUACCUGACUAAGAAGCCCCGGCUAACUACGUGCCAGCAGCCGCGGUAAUACGUAGGGGGCAAGCGUUAUCCGGAUUUACUGGGUGUAAAGGGAGCGUAGACGGCGAUGCAAGUCUGAAGUGAAAGGCGGGGGCCCAACCCCCGGACUGCUUUGGAAACUGUAUGGCUGGAGUGCAGGGGAGGUAAGUGGAAUUCCUAGUGUAGCGGUGAAAUGCGUAGAUAUUAGGAGGAACACCAGUGGCGAAGGCGGCUUACUGGACUGUAACUGACGUUGAGGCUCGAAAGCGUGGGGAGCAAACAGGAUUAGAUACCCUAGUAGUC